CAGUAGCCGCGGUAAUACGAAGGGGGCUAGCGUUGUUCGGAAUUACUGGGCGUAGAGGGCGCGUAGGCGGCCAUUCAAGUUAGAUGUGAAAGCCCUGGGCUCAGCCUAGGAAUUGCAUUUGAUACUGUUUGGCUUGAGUUCGGGAGAGGUGAGUGGAAUUCCCAGUGUAGAGGUGAAAUUCGUAGAUAUUGGGAAGAACACCAGUGGCGAAGGCGGCUCACUGGACCGACACUGACGCUGAGGCGCGAAAGCGUGGGGAGCAAACAGGAUUAGAUACCCGGGUAGUCCCUGUCUCUUAUAC
This 301-nucleotide ribosomal RNA is filed under the name uncultured bacterium. RNAcentral describes it as "partial 16S ribosomal RNA". It matches the Rfam family "Bacterial small subunit ribosomal RNA", at positions 509 to 807 of the family's 1533-position model. The record is from RNAcentral.